This 73-nucleotide transfer RNA is filed under the name Anatilimnocola aggregata. It matches the Rfam family "tRNA". Rfam says of the family: Transfer RNA (tRNA) molecules are approximately 80 nucleotides in length. Their secondary structure includes four short double-helical elements and three loops (D, anti-codon, and T loops). Lineage: Bacteria; Pseudomonadati; Planctomycetota; Planctomycetia; Pirellulales; Pirellulaceae. The record is from Rfam by way of RNAcentral.
GAUUUGGUAGCUCACUGGGUAGAGCAACAGAUACUCAAUCUGUGGGUAGCGGGUUCGACUCCCGUCCAACGCA